Molecule: ribosomal RNA, 450 nt
Filed under: uncultured bacterium
Lineage: Bacteria
Description: bacterial SSU rRNA
Rfam family: Bacterial small subunit ribosomal RNA
Source: RNAcentral
GUGGGGAAUUUUGGACAAUGGGGGCAACCCUGAUCCAGCCAUGCCGCGUGAGUGAAGAAGGCCUUCGGGUUGUAAAGCUCUUUCGGCCGGGACGAAAUCGCAUGGGCGAAUAUCCUGUGUGGAUGACGGUACCGGAAGAAGAAGCACCGGCUAACUACGUGCCAGCAGCCGCGGUAAUACGUAGGGUGCGAGCGUUAAUCGGAAUUACUGGGCGUAAAGCGUGCGCAGGCGGUUUUGUAAGCCAGAUGUGAAAUCCCCGGGCUCAACCUGGGAACUGCAUUUGGGACUGCAAGGCUUGAGUACGGCAGAGGGGGGUAGAAUUCCUGGUGUAGCAGUGAAAUGCGUAGAUAUCAGGAGGAAUACCGAUGGCGAAGGCAGCCCCCUGGGUCGAUACUGACGCUCAUGCACGAAAGCGUGGGGAGCAAACAGGAUUAGAAACCCUGGUAGUCC